RNAcentral lists this ribosomal RNA (253 nucleotides) under uncultured microorganism. RNAcentral's name for it is "partial 16S ribosomal RNA". It matches the Rfam family "Bacterial small subunit ribosomal RNA", at positions 524 to 776 of the family's 1533-position model. The record is from RNAcentral.
UACGUAGGGUGCGAGCGUUAAUCGGAUUUACUGGGCGUAAAGCGUGCGCAGGCGGCCCGUUAAGACAGGUGUGAAAUCCCUGGGCUCAACCUAGGAAUUGCGCUUGAGACUGGCGGGCUCGAGUACGGUAGAGGGAGGUGGAAUUCCUGGUGUAGCAGUGAAAUGCGUAGAGAUCAGGAGGAACACCGAUGGCGAAGGCAGCCCCCUGGGCCUGUACUGACGCUCAUGCACGAAAGCGUGGGGAGCAAACAGG